GAUCAUGGCUCGGGACGAACGCUGGCGGCGUGCUUAACACAUGCAAGUCGAACGAGAAUCUACUGAAAGAGUUUUCGGACAAUGGAAGUAGAGGAAAGUGGCGGACGGGUGAGUAACGCGUGAGGAACCUGCCUUGAAGAGGGGGACAACAGUUGGAAACGACUGCUAAUACCGCAUGACGCAUAGAGGCCGCAUGAUCUUUAUGCCAAAGAUUUAUCGCUUCAAGAUGGCCUCGCG
RNAcentral lists this ribosomal RNA (237 nucleotides) under uncultured bacterium. RNAcentral's name for it is "partial 16S ribosomal RNA". It matches the Rfam family "Bacterial small subunit ribosomal RNA", at positions 15 to 235 of the family's 1533-position model. The record is from RNAcentral.